CUGCUAAUAAAUAAGUAUACGCCAUGCAACUCGGAUGGGCUUUUUCUUUAUAAUUAAACCUCAUCAUCAUCAUCUGCUUCCUCUGCUUUCUUCUCUUCUUCCCCUCCCUCUCCUGCUUCUGUUCCCCCAGCUGCAAGUGGCUGCUCUCCGUCUCGCCGUCUCCCCGCAUAUAUCGGCCCAAUCAAUGUCUCCCCCACAUGACUUCGCCGCCCGCUCUUCCUCCUCCUCCUCGUUUCACCCGCGACAUCAACCUCAACGAUCAACCUCUUCCUCCUCUCCACCAUCUCCCUCCGCCGCUCCAGCGUCCGUCCCACAUCAUUCACAUCUCGCUGCCCGCUCUCGUCUGUCCAACAUCUCCCGCCACAUCGCCAUGGCUGCCCCCGCCAACCCCUCAGUAUUCACCGCUGCAGUGGUGCCCCAGGCCCCCGAGGACCCGCUCUUCGGCCUGAUGCGCGCCUACAAGCAGGACACGUCCGAUAAGAAGGUCGACCUGGGCAUUGGUGCGUACAGAGACAACAACGCGAAGCCGUGGGUCUUGCCUGUCGUGAAGAAGGCCGAUGAGCUCCUGCGCAGCGAUCCGAAUCUAAACCAUGAAUAUCUCCCCAUUGCUGGUCUGCCUGAGUUCACCAGCGCUGCUCAAAGGCUGAUCCUCGGCGCAGAUUCACCCGCCAUCAAGGAAAAUCGAGUCAUCUCCCUCCAAACAAUCUCCGGCACCGGUGCCGUCCAUCUCGGCGGCCUCUUCCUGUCCAAAUUCCACCCCUCCCAGCCGAAACCAACAAUCUACCUCUCCUCCCCCACCUGGGCCAACCACACACAGAUCUUCUCCAACGUCCACCUCCGCACUGCCACCUACCCCUACUUCUCUCCGGCCACCAGGGGCCUCGACAUCACCGGCAUGCUCGAUGCCCUCCGCGCCGCACCUCGGGGCUCCAUCAUCCUUCUCCACGCCUGCUGUGCAUCGCGCAGUCCUUCGCAAAGAACUUCGGCCUGUACGGCGAGCGCGCAGGCGCGUUCCACUUCGUCGCCGCGCCGGGCCCACAGGCGUCCGCGACAGCCGCGCACGUGGCGUCGCAGCUGGCCAUCCUGCAGCGGUCCGAGAUCUCGAACCCGCCCGCGUACGGCGCGCGCAUCGCGGCGCGGGUCCUCAACGACCCCGCGCUGUUUGCGGAGUGGGAGGCCGAUCUGCGCGCGAUGAGCGGCCGGAUCGUGGAGAUGCGCCGCGGCUUGCGCGAGCGGUUGGAGCGGCGCGGCACCCCGGGCAGCUGGGACCACAUCACGAGCCAGAUUGGCAUGUUUAGUUUUACGGGCCUGAGUGAGGCGCAGGUGCAGCGGCUCAGGGAGAAGUGGCAUGUUUAUAUGACGAAGAACGGCCGUAUCUCCAUGGCGGGGCUGAACAGCAACAAUAUCGAUUACUUCGCCGAGGCGGUCGAUAGUGUCGUGCGGGAGGUGUCGUAACUAGUUAAUGGGGUAGCUUAGUUAGGGCUGGGGGUGAAGGGGUUGGUUGGCAAAAUAAAAACUCCACGUAAUGAAAAAAAAAAUCCGAUAUUAAACAUCAAAAAGCAAAACAAAACAAAAAAAAUAAAAAUAAAAAUAAAAAUAAAAAUAAGAACCGGAAAGAAUUUAUUAGUAGUUAGUUAUACUAACUAUCUUAGUUAAUCGGUUCCGGUUCCAAUAACCUCUUAACACGGGAGAUGUGGGGGAAGAGGAAUAGUAAUUGAAGAACAAAAAGCGGACAUGAAAUGAUGGUUUUGGGGGGGUUUUUUUGAUAAAGGAGAAAGAAAGGACGGUCUCUUAAUGUUGGUUGGUAUUCAGUUAAACAUAUAUAUAAUCUAAUAUCUCUGCUCUGCUCCUCUUUUGCUGAGUGAAGACUGCUUCCUUGCUGCUUUGCUUUCUUUACAUGUUGAUAUGAUAGUUAUGAUUAUGAUUAGAUUGGGGGCGGAAGACUAGCAAGCAAGCAGGAAGAGCUGCAGAUGGAAGUAAGUAUACAUACAUAUCUCUGGAUAGAAAUACACGCAGAAGCCAGGUCAGAUGAAGACUAGCGACGAGAAAAUAAACAAGAAAUAUG
Molecule: small RNA, 2065 nt
Filed under: Histoplasma capsulatum
Lineage: Eukaryota; Fungi; Ascomycota; Eurotiomycetes; Onygenales; Ajellomycetaceae
Also listed under: 1 other name
Description: hypothetical RNA
Source: RNAcentral